CCUAGUAACGGCGAGUGAAGCGGCAUCAGCUCAAAUUUGAAAUCUGGCUCUUUCAGGGUCCGAGUUGUAAUUUGCAGAGGGCGCUUUGGUGUUGGCAGCGGUCCAAGUUCCUUGGAACAGGACGUCACAGAGGGUGAGAAUCCCGUACGUGGUCGCUAGCCUUCGCCGUGUAAAGCCCUUUCGACGAGUCGAGUUGUUUGGGAAUGCAGCUCUAAAUGGGAGGUAAAUUUCUUCUAAAGCUAAAUACUGGCCAGAGACCGAUAGCGCACAAGUAGAGUGAUCGAAAGAUGAAAAGCACUUUGGAAAGAGAGUCAAAUAGCACGUGAAAUUGUUGAAAGGGAAGCGCUUGCAGCCAGACUUGCCUGUAGUUGCUCAUCCGGGCUUUUGCCCGGUGCCCUUUUUUGCGGGCAGGCCAGCAUCAGUUUGGGCGGUUGGAUAAAGGCCUUUGUCAUGUACCUCCUUUCGGGGAGGCCUUAUAGGGGAGGCGUAAUGCA
RNAcentral lists this ribosomal RNA (494 nucleotides) under Pyrenochaeta sp. PQA15. Its description in RNAcentral is "eukaryotic LSU rRNA". It matches the Rfam family "Eukaryotic large subunit ribosomal RNA", at positions 79 to 577 of the family's 3401-position model. The record is from RNAcentral. Lineage: Eukaryota; Fungi; Ascomycota; Dothideomycetes; Pleosporales; Cucurbitariaceae.